GAGUUUGAUUAUGGCUCAGGAUGAACGCUAGCGGGAGGCCUAACACAUGCAAGCCGAGCGGGAUUUGUUGGUUAGCUUGCUAACUAAUAAUGAGAGCGGCGUACGGGUGCGUAACACGUGUGCAACCUGCCUUUAUCUGGGGGAUAGCCUUUCGAAAGGAAGAUUAAUACCCCAUAAUAUAUUAAUUGGCAUCAAUUGAUAUUGAAAGCUCCGGCGGAUAGAGAUGGGCACGCGUAAGAUUAGCUAGUUGGUGAGGUAACGGCUCACCAAGGCUGCGAUCUUUAGGGGGCCUGAGAGGGUGAUCCCCCACACUGGUACUNNGACACGGACCAGACUCCUACGGGAGGCAGCAGUGAGGAAUAUUGGACAAUGGGUGAGAGCCUGAUCCAGCCAUCCCGCGUGAAGGACUAAGGACCUAUGGUUUGUAAACUUCUUUUAUACAGGGAUAAACCUACUCUCGUGAGGGUAGCUGAAGGUACUGUAUGAAUAAGCACCGCA
This 498-nucleotide ribosomal RNA is filed under the name Bergeyella zoohelcum. RNAcentral describes it as "bacterial SSU rRNA". It matches the Rfam family "Bacterial small subunit ribosomal RNA", at positions 9 to 497 of the family's 1533-position model. The record is from RNAcentral. Lineage: Bacteria; Pseudomonadati; Bacteroidota; Flavobacteriia; Flavobacteriales; Weeksellaceae.